AUGAACGCUGGCGGCGUGCCUAAUCCAUGCCAGUCGAGCGAACAGACGAGGAGCUUGCUCCUCUGACGUUAGCGGCGGACGGGUGAGUAACACGUGGAUAACCUACCUAUAAGACUGGGAUAACUUCGGGAAACCGGAGCUAAUACCGGAUAAUAUAUUGAACCGCAUGGUUCAAUAGUGAAAGACGGUUUUGCUGUCACUUAUAGAUGGAUCUGCGCCGCAUUAGCUAGUUGGUAAGGUAACGGCUUACCAAGGCAACGAUGCGUAGCCGACCUGAGAGGGUGAUCGGCCACACUGGAACUGAGACACGGUCCAGACUCCUACGGGAGGCAGCAGUAGGGAAUCUUCCGCAAUGGGCGAAAGCCUGACGGAGCAACGCCGCGUGAGUGAUGAAGGUCUUCGGAUCGUAAAACUCUGUUAUUAGGGAAGAACAAAUGUGUAAGUAACUAUGCACGUCUUGACGGUACCUAAUCAGAAAGCCACGGCUAACUACGUG
RNAcentral lists this ribosomal RNA (496 nucleotides) under uncultured bacterium. RNAcentral describes it as "partial 16S ribosomal RNA". It matches the Rfam family "Bacterial small subunit ribosomal RNA", at positions 29 to 507 of the family's 1533-position model. The record is from RNAcentral.